Molecule: ribosomal RNA, 339 nt
Filed under: uncultured bacterium
Lineage: Bacteria
Description: bacterial SSU rRNA
Rfam family: Bacterial small subunit ribosomal RNA
Source: RNAcentral
AUUGAACGCUGGCGGCAUGCCUUACACAUGCAAGUCGAACGGCAGCACGGGAGCAAUCCUGGUGGCGAGUGGCGAACGGGUGAGUAAUAUAUCGGAACGUGCCCAGUCGUGGGGGAUAACGUAGCGAAAGCUACGCUAAUACCGCAUACGAUCUAUGGAUGAAAGCGGGGGAUCGCAAGACUCGCGCGAUUGGAGCGGCCGAUAUCAGAUUAGGUAGUUGGUGAGGUAAAGGCUCACCAAGCCGACGAUCUGUAGCUGGUCUGAGAGGACGACCAGCCACACUGGGACUGAGACACGGCCCAGACUCCUACGGAGGCAGCAGUGGGGAAUUUUGGACAA